RNAcentral lists this long non-coding RNA (224 nucleotides) under Capsicum annuum. RNAcentral describes it as "long non-coding RNA (CANN_LNC014734)". Lineage: Eukaryota; Viridiplantae; Streptophyta; Magnoliopsida; Solanales; Solanaceae. The record is from RNAcentral.
CCCCUACAAAUGGUAUCAGAGCCUAGUUAUUUAAAAUAUACAACAGUAGCAUAUAUGUUUGAAUUUAGAUUGAAUUAGAUUAAUUAUGAGAAAACCAUUUAAAAAACAGAGAAGCUUUUAGAAAAAUUAAAGAAUCCUUAAUUAGUAAUUAUUCAGAAUAUAUAUGUCUAAAUAAAACAAAAGAAAACCCACAAAGAUUAGCCUACCUAAUUACCUUAAUAUCU